GUCUAUGGCCAUAUCACCCAGAAUGUGCCCGAUCUCAUCUGAUCUCGGAGGCUUAGCAGGGUCGGGCCUGGUUAGUACUUGGAAGGGAGAAGAACAGGGCAGGAGGACA
This 109-nucleotide ribosomal RNA is filed under the name Microcebus murinus (gray mouse lemur). Lineage: Eukaryota; Metazoa; Chordata; Mammalia; Primates; Cheirogaleidae. The record is from RNAcentral.